This 2079-nucleotide ribosomal RNA is filed under the name Triticum aestivum (bread wheat). Its description in RNAcentral is "partial small subunit ribosomal RNA". Lineage: Eukaryota; Viridiplantae; Streptophyta; Magnoliopsida; Poales; Poaceae. The record is from RNAcentral.
AUGCAAGCAUGUUCCUUAUUACUUGGUAGACCAUGGCAAUUUGAUAAAAAUUCUGUACACCAUGGUAGAAACAAUCACUAUACUCUUGUUCAUAAGGAUAAAAAUAUUACUUUGCUUCCUAUGACUCCUGAUUCCAUUUUGAAAGAUGAUAUUAAUAGAGCUAAUAAAGCACAACAGGAGAAGAAUAAGAGUGAAAAUCAGAUUGUGGCAAAAGAAUUUGAGCAACAAAUGAAACCUAAUAAUAAACCAUCUAGUGUUGCUUCUGAAAUUAAAUUGAAAAGUGCAUGUUUAUUUGCCACCAAAUCUGAUAUUGAUGAGCUAGAUUUCAGCAAAUCUGUUUGCUAUGCUUUUGUGUGCAAAGAGGCAUUAUUUUCAUUCGAGGACGUGCCUUCCUCUUUGCCUCUUGCUGUCACUAACAUUUUGCAGGAGUUCGCUGACGUUUUUCCACAAGACGUGCCACCGGGAUUACCGCCUAUUCGAGGGAUUGAGCAUCAGAUUGACUUAAUUCCCGGUGCUUCACUGCCAAACCGUGCACCAUACCGUACCAAUCCAGAGGAGACGAAGGAGAUUAUGCGUCAAGUACAAGAGCUUAUCGACAAAGGUUAUAUACGCGAAUCCCUUAGUCCUUGUGCUGUUCCUAUUAUUCUAGUGCCGAAAAAGGAUGGUACAUCACGUAUGUGUGUUGAUUGUAGAGGCAUUAAUAAUAUUACUAUUCGUUAUCGUCAUCCUAUUCCUAGGCUAGAUGAUAUGCUUGAUGAAUUGAGUGGCUCUACAAUAUUCUCCAAAGUUGAUUUGCGUAGUGGAUACCAUCAAAUUCGUAUGAAAUUGGGAGAUGAAUGGAAAACAGCAUUCAAAACUAAGUUUGGAUUAUAUGAGUGGUUAGUCAUGCCUUUUGGGUUAACUAAUGCACCUAGUACUUUCAUGAGAUUAAUGAACGAAGUUUUACGUGCUUUCAUUGGACGAUUUGUGGUAGUUUACUUUGAUGACAUAUUGAUUUAUAGCAGAUCUUUGGAAGAACAUUUGGAACAUUUACGUGCUGUUUUUAUUGCUCUACGUGAUGCACGUUUGUUUGGUAACCUUGGGAAGUGCACCUUUUGCACCGACCGAGUAUCUUUUCUUGGCUAUGUUGUUACUCCACAGGGAAUUGAAGUUGAUAAAGCCAAGAUUGAAGCUAUUGAGAGUUGGCCGCAGCCCAAAACGGUCACACACGUGAGGAGUUUUCUUGGCCUCGCUGGAUUCUAUAGGCGUUUUGUGAGAGAUUUCAGCACCAUUGCUGCACCUCUCAAUGAGCUUACAAAGAAAGAUGUGCCUUUUCUUUGGGGUACUGCACAGGAAGAAGCCUUCACGGUAUUGAAAGAUAAGUUGACACAUGAUCCUUUACUCCAACUUCCUGAUUUUAAUAAGACUUUUGAGCUUGAAUGUGAUGCUAGUGGAAUUGGAUUAGGAGGUGUGUUAUUACAAGAUGGCAAACCUGUUGCAUACUUUUCUGAAAAAUUGAGUGGGCCUAGUCUGAAUUAUUCUACUUAUGAUAAAGAAUUAUAUGCUCUUGUUCGGACUUUAGAAACAUGGCAACAUUAUUUAUGGCCCAAAGAAUUUGUUAUACAUUCUGAUCAUGAAUCUUUGAAACAUAUUAAAAGUCAAGCUAAACUGAAUCGUAAACAUGCUAAAUGGGUUGAAUUCAUUGAGACUUUCCCUUAUGUCAUUAAACACAAGAAGGGAAAAGAAAAUGUUAUUGCUGAUGCAUUGUCUCGUCGCUAUACUAUGCUUUCACAACUUGACUUCAAAAUAUUUGGUUUGGAGACCAUCAAAGAUCAAUAUGUGCAUGAUGCUGAUUUUAAAGAUGUAAUGCAGAAUUGUAAAGAAGGAAGAAUGUGGAACAAGUUUGUCGUUAACGAUGGAUUUGUGUUUCGUGCUAACAAGCUAUGCAUUCCAGCUAGCUCCGUUCGUCUUUUGUUGUUGCAGGAGGCGCAUGGAGGAGGAUUAAUGGGACACUUUGGCAUGAAGAAGACGGAGGACGUACUUGCUACACAUUUCUUUUGGCCAAAGAUGAGACGGGAUGUUGAGCGUUUUAUUGCUUGA